Molecule: ribosomal RNA, 492 nt
Filed under: uncultured bacterium
Lineage: Bacteria
Description: partial 16S ribosomal RNA
Rfam family: Bacterial small subunit ribosomal RNA
Source: RNAcentral
AGUGAACGCUGGCGGUAGGCCUAACACAUGCAAGCCGAACGGCAGCACAGUAAGAGCUUGCUCUUACGGGUGGCGAGUGGCGGACGGGUGAGGAAUACAUCGGAAUCUACUUUUUCGUUGGGGAUAACGUAGGGAAACUUACGCUAAUACCGCAUACGACCUACGGGUGAAAGCAGGGGAUCUUCGGACCUUGCGCGAUUGAAUAAGCCGAUGUCGGAUUAGCUAGUUGGCGGGGUAAAGGCCCACCAAGGCGACGAUCCGUAUCUGGUCUGAGAGGAUGAUCAGCCAGACUGGAACUGAGACAGGGUCCAGACACCUACGGGAGGCAGCAGUGGGGAAUAUUGGACAAUGGGGGAAAGCCUGAUCCAGCAAUACCGCGUGGGUGAAGAAGGACUUCGGGUUGUAAAGCCCUUUUGUUGGGAAAGAAAAGCAGCAGGUUAAUACCCCGCUGUUCUGACGGUACCCAAAGAAUAAGCACCGGCUAACUUCGUG